RNAcentral lists this ribosomal RNA (459 nucleotides) under uncultured bacterium. Its description in RNAcentral is "bacterial SSU rRNA". It matches the Rfam family "Bacterial small subunit ribosomal RNA", at positions 29 to 506 of the family's 1533-position model. The record is from RNAcentral.
GUGAACGCUGGCGGCGUGCCUAACACAUGCAAGUCGAACGAUGAUAGGAAGCUUGCUUUCUUGAUUAGUGGCGCACGGGUGAGUAAUGCAUAGAUAAUGUGCCCCUUAGUUCGGGAUAGCCACUGGAAACGGUGAUUAAUACUAGAUACACCUCUUUAGCUCAAGCUGAGGAGGGAAACGUUUUUUCGCUUCGAGAUCAGACUAUAUCCUAUCAGUUAGUUGGUGAGGUAAUGGCUCACCAAGGCAAUGACGGGUAGCGGUUCUGAGAGGAUGAUCCGCCACACUGGUACUGAGACACGGACCAGACUCCUACGGGAGGCAGCAGUGAGGAAUAUUGCACAAUGGGGGGAACCCUGAUGCAGCAACGCCGCGUGGAGGAUGACGCAUUUCGGUAUGUAAACUCCUUUUAUAUGUCGAGAAAAUGACGGUAGCAUAUGAAUAAGCACCGGCUAACUCCGU